Pelodiscus sinensis (Chinese soft-shelled turtle) is the source of this 629-nucleotide non-coding RNA. The record is from RefSeq and is a predicted model, not a curated record. Lineage: Eukaryota; Metazoa; Chordata; Testudines; Trionychidae.
CAUUAUUGUCCUAGCAACCAUUAUACAAUUCUGCUGCAUGACAUUGCUGAGACACAUUCCAAGUUUAGAAAAAUAGGCACAGACCAGUUGCUCAGAGACAAAAGGCAAGCUGACACCUCAGCCAGGUGUUAACAAAAUCAAAUGACCUAUCACCUGGUUAAGUGACCCUUCUCUGGCAGAAAAAAGGAUGGGAGUGAGAAAUCUACAUUUUGGGAAAGAAACAGCUGGAGGUGCUUGUCCCCACAGAUUUCUGUUUCCUGAACCUCAGCUGUAGAUGAUUUUCAAAGAACAAUAGAACUACAAGAAAGAAGAAUUGAUGCUGCAAAAGAUCUUUCCCUUCAUCUCUACUCAUGGCAUCAACAAUCUUUGAAAAACAAAGGGAGUAUCUUUAGACUAGGCAGGGAUCCCGGUGGAAAGGAAUUCAGCCAGUAAAACUGCUACAAUAUGUGCAGGAAGAAGGGUACGAGUGAAGAGUUUACAUAUUGGCAAAGACACAGAAAGGGGUUUCCACAUAAACAGAUUGCAAGUCACCUGAAUCCCAGCUACAGCAGCUACACUGCUUGAAAGACAAAGGAAACCUCUUAGGUGAAGGCACCUGUCUGAGAGGCUUUUCAGUCGGUAGAGACGGU